UUCGCAAUGCCCGAAAGGGUGACGAAGCGACGCCGCGUGUGGGAAGAAGGCCUUCGGGUUGUAAACCACUGUCAGGAGUUAAGAAAUGCAAGGGUGUAAAUAGCAUCCUUGCUUGACUAAGGCUCCAGAGGAAGCCACGGCUAACUCUGUGCCAGCAGCCGCGGUAAUACAGAGGUGGCAAGCGUUGUUCGGAAUUAUUGGGCGUAAAGAGCACGUAGGCGGCUCUAUAAGUCAGCUGUGAAAGCCUUCUGCUUAACGGAAGAACAGCAGUUGAAACUGUAGGGCUUGAGUGCGGGAGGGGAGAGUGGAACUUCUGGUGGAGCGGUGAAAUGCGUAGAUAUCAGAAGGAACGCCGGCGGCGAAAGCGGCUCUCUGGCCCGUAACUGACGCUGAGUGUGCGAAAGCUAGGGGAGCAAACGGGAUUAGAUACCCCGGUAGUCCUAGCCGUAAACGAUGGGCACUAAGUAGAGGGGUUUU
Molecule: ribosomal RNA, 477 nt
Filed under: uncultured anaerobic ammonium-oxidizing bacterium
Lineage: Bacteria
Description: bacterial SSU rRNA
Rfam family: Bacterial small subunit ribosomal RNA
Source: RNAcentral